Long non-coding RNA from Anthonomus grandis grandis, 532 nucleotides. RefSeq lists it as uncharacterized. The transcript is spliced from 4 exons. NCBI's taxonomy places the organism in Eukaryota, Metazoa, Arthropoda, Insecta, Coleoptera, Curculionidae. The record is from RefSeq and is a predicted model, not a curated record.
AUCAACACAAUUGAAAAGAACAUAUUUGUUUGUUCAGAUCACAUCCUUAGAAGUGAUUUCUUAUAUAAGGGAGAUAAUAUUAUCAGUAGCCAGACUUUAUUAAAAAAAUCAGCUCUACCUUAAAGGAUUUCUGAUGCACUGGUUAAAAACACAGCAGCCGAUAAUUCAGUUAAUUUACCAAGUGAUUUACCCUUCAAAGCUGCAGGGGUAGUUUUCUUGAAGAGUGCAAAAACUUUUUUAGAUUCCAAAAUGGUAUAUAGUACAAAUAGUGAAGCUAAUAUACACAAAUCUGAUCAUUCAUCAACAAUUACUAUUUCUCAUCCAAGCCGUUUUUGUUUAACUGCUACACAUUCCCUGACUCUGCCAAGGAAAAGGGUAAAAUCAAAAUGAUAUCCUGAGGACCUAAGCACUGAUGAUUCCACCGUUUCAAAAGCUAAAUCACUUGUCACCAAAUUAUGGAAAAAAAAAAGAACAAAAAAUUAAAAUUCGACGAUUGCAGCAAAUUUGCGCCAAAGAAAUUGAAUUAGAUGUC